ACGCGAAGAACCUUACCAGGUCUUGACAUCCUUUGACAACCCUAGAGAAGGGCUUUCCCUUCGGGGACAGAGUGACAGGUGGUGCAUGGUUGUCGUCAGCUCGUGUCGUGAGAUGUUGGGUUAAGUCCCGCAACGAGCGCAACCCUUGAUCUUAGUUGCCAGCAUUCAGUUGGGCACUCUAAGGUGACUGCCGGUGACAAACCGGAGGAAGGUGGGGAUGACGUCAAAUCAUCAUGCCCCUUAUGACCUGGGCUACACACGUGCUACAAUGGACAGAACAAAGGGCUGCAAGACCGCAAGGUUUAGCCAAUCCCAUAAAUCUGUUCUCAGUUCGGAUCGCAGUCUGCAACUCGACUGCGUGAAGCUGGAAUCGCUAGUAAUCGCGGAUCAGCAUGCCGCGGUGAAUACGUUCCCGGGUCUUGUACACACCGA
RNAcentral lists this ribosomal RNA (432 nucleotides) under uncultured Bacillus sp. RNAcentral describes it as "bacterial SSU rRNA". It matches the Rfam family "Bacterial small subunit ribosomal RNA", at positions 959 to 1393 of the family's 1533-position model. Lineage: Bacteria; Bacillati; Bacillota; Bacilli; Caryophanales; Bacillaceae. The record is from RNAcentral.